Molecule: long non-coding RNA, 776 nt
Filed under: Helianthus annuus (common sunflower)
Lineage: Eukaryota; Viridiplantae; Streptophyta; Magnoliopsida; Asterales; Asteraceae
Source: RNAcentral
UGCUUUCAUUGUUUUAUUUGUAAUGGAACAUUUACAACAUUUAACUAAUCACAGAUUCAAGAAAUUUUUUUUGAAUUAUAAAGGUGUUCCUUCAGGUGAGGGGCUCUAUGAUGAGAACAAGAUGUGUUUUUAUCAGGGGCUUUCUGAUGAGACAAGAUAAACACAAUGUCCAAAGAAAGAGAAACACUAUCCACCAAUUGUGGUGGAUGAAUGAUUAAAUGCCAUGUCACCUAAUACCAUGCCAAUAAUGAAAAAAGAAAAAGAUGUUUUGAGAGCAUCUUAUGUUAAAAUCCAUGGGAAGAAGCAGCAUAGAUGUUUUAACAUUUAAUGGUUCAUAGUUUACUGCCUGCUGAGACCAAAGUCACUGCUACCUUUUUCCGCUUUUAUAUUGGAAUAACUUUUUAUACAUCAAAGGUAUCUAGGGGAGUGAAUAACAUACCAGGGUAUUUGCAGCCUGCCAUCAGUCAUAUUCCUUUUGGAAAAUCGCUCACGUAUUUUGGGCUUCUUCUUGCAUCUUGGGUGUUCUUUGUGUUUAUAGCGUUUACGAUUUUCCUACCUGUUAUUGUACCUCAGAAGUUUGCUCUGUGUUUUACUGUUGGAUGUCGCUUUAGAAUAAGGUAAUUCCUCAUGCUCAAACGGCCGAAAAAUCAGCAUCUACAAAUGACAUUAAGUAAGGUACUUGCGUAAGACUGGAAGGUAUGGAGGAGGCAAGUCCUCCAAGGAUGGGCCGCCACGUCACUGCCACGUAGGAGUGGCUUGGAGGGGAUGGACCUAGG